GGAUGUGAGGGUGAUCUGGCUGUGACAUCUGUCACCCCAUUGAUCGUCAGGGUUGAUUGGCUGAUCUGGCUGGCUAGGAAGUGUCCCCUUCCUCCCUCACUGUUCCAUGUGCAUCCCUCCCAAAGCUGCUGUGCUCAGCUGAAGAGGAUGGACCUGUUCUUCCAUCAUGGAUAUACGAGUAGCUGCGCUCCCCUGCUACAACCUCCAAAUAGGCUCUCAAAAUGGAGGGUAUCAACAAAGACAAAAUUGAAAUGAUUAAUACAAUUGA
RNAcentral lists this small nuclear RNA (268 nucleotides) under Microcebus murinus (gray mouse lemur). Its description in RNAcentral is "7SK RNA (ENSMICG00000023539.3)". It matches the Rfam family "7SK RNA". Rfam says of the family: 7SK was discovered as an abundant small nuclear RNA in the mid-70s but a possible function has only recently been suggested. Two independent studies have found that 7SK RNA binds the CDK9/cyclin T complex (known as elongation factor P-TEFb). Lineage: Eukaryota; Metazoa; Chordata; Mammalia; Primates; Cheirogaleidae. The record is from RNAcentral.